AUCCAUCUGAAAAGCCCUGAAUAGGACGAAACGCGCGUCCUGGAU
Molecule: non-coding RNA, 45 nt
Organism: Schistosoma margrebowiei
Lineage: Eukaryota; Metazoa; Platyhelminthes; Trematoda; Strigeidida; Schistosomatidae
Source: Rfam